GAUGAACGCUGGCGGCGUGCCUAACACAUGCCGGUCGAACGGAGUCCAGCCUUUAAGACCUUCGGGUCAAAGAGGGGAAGACUGAGUGGCGGACGGGUGAGUAACACGUGGGCAACCUGGCUCAUAGAGGGGGAUAACAGAGAGAAAUUUCUGCUAAUACCGCAUAAGCACACACUGCCGCAUGGCAGAGGGUGAAAAGAGAAUCGCUACGAGAUGGACCCGCGUCUGAUUAGCCAGUUGGCAGGGUAAGAGCCUACCAAAGCGACGAUCAGUAGCCGAUCUGAGAGGAUGAACGGCCACAUUGGGACUGAGACACGGCCCAAACUCCUACGGGAGGCAGCAGUGGGGGAUAUUGCACAAUGGGGGGAACCCUGAUGCAGCGACGCCGCGUGAGUGAAGAAGUAUUUCGGUAUGUAAAGCUCUAUCAGCAGGGAAGAUAAUGACAGUACCUGAAUAAGAAGCCCCGGCUAACUACGUG
This 478-nucleotide ribosomal RNA is filed under the name uncultured bacterium. RNAcentral's name for it is "partial 16S ribosomal RNA". It matches the Rfam family "Bacterial small subunit ribosomal RNA", at positions 28 to 507 of the family's 1533-position model. The record is from RNAcentral.